CAGCAGCCGCGGUAAUACAGAGGGUGCAAGCGUUAAUCGGAAUUACUGGGCGUAAAGCGCGCGUAGGUGGUUCGUUAAGUCUGAUGUGAAAUCCCCGGGCUCAACCUGGGAACUGCAUUCAAAACUGACGAGCUAGAGUAUGGUAGAGGGUGGUGGAAUUUCCUGUGUAGCGGUGAAAUGCGUAGAUAUAGGAAGGAACACC
Molecule: ribosomal RNA, 202 nt
Filed under: Escherichia coli
Lineage: Bacteria; Pseudomonadati; Pseudomonadota; Gammaproteobacteria; Enterobacterales; Enterobacteriaceae
Description: partial 16S ribosomal RNA
Rfam family: Bacterial small subunit ribosomal RNA
Source: RNAcentral